RNAcentral lists this antisense RNA (949 nucleotides) under Pan troglodytes (chimpanzee). The stretch from base 268 to 411 matches the Rfam family "CDKN2B antisense RNA 1 convserved region 3". Lineage: Eukaryota; Metazoa; Chordata; Mammalia; Primates; Hominidae. The record is from RNAcentral.
CUCUUCGAAAGUCUUCCAUUCUUCAAACUAGAUUAUUUAAAAAUGAAAAAGGAAGAAAGGAAAGCGAGGUCAUCUCAUUGCUCUAUCCGCCAAUCAGGAGGCUGAAUGUCAGUUUUGAACUAAAAGCCGCUCCGCUCCUCUUCUAGAUUUGGAAAACAAGCGAAAUUAAACUAAACCGCUGCACGCCUCUGACGCGACAUCUGGACACGGCGCGGCGCUGGCGCUGCCGGAGCUGUCGGCCCGGCCUGGCGCCGGACUAGUGUCCCUUUUGAUGAGAAGAAUAAGCCUCAUUGUGAUUCAACAGCAGAGAUCAAAGAAAAGACUUCUGUUUUCUGGCCACCAGAUAUAUGUUAUCUGUGCUUAAAGAAUUGAAAAACACACAUCAAAGGAGAAUUCUCUUGGAAAGAGAGGGUUCAAGCAUCACUGUUAGGUGUGCUGGAAUCCUUUCCCGAGUCAGUACUGCUUUCUAGAAGAAAACCGGGGAGAUCUAUUUGGAAUGUAUCUAACUCCAAAGGAACCAUCAGAGGUAACAGUAGAGACGGGGUUUCACCAUGUUGGCCAGACUGGUCUUGAACUCCCGACCUCGUGAUUCGCCCGCCUUGGCCUCCCAAAGUGCUGGGAUUACAGGUGUGAGACACCAUGCCCGGCGGAUAGAGAGAAUUUUGACAGUAUCUUACAGACAGCAAGUUGAACAUUGUGGGAUGCAUAAGCUAUUGAGGCCUUUGCAGCUUUCUGCUACAUGGAGGCUACGGCCAGAGUCAACAUUUAUGCUUUGCAGCACACUGGUCAGCUGUUUUUGCAAAUCAGAUUAAAUAAUUUUUAAAUGAGGCUGAGAGCAUGGGAGAUACUAAUGUGUGUUUCCUUGUGAGCUACUGCAUAAGUUAGGAAAUUGAAAUACAGAAAGAUGAAAAGUGAUUUGCCCAAGUAUAUAGAUCAAAACUGUGGCAGA